This 2883-nucleotide ribosomal RNA is filed under the name Salmonella enterica subsp. enterica serovar Enteritidis. Its description in RNAcentral is "23S ribosomal RNA". It matches the Rfam family "Bacterial large subunit ribosomal RNA". Lineage: Bacteria; Pseudomonadati; Pseudomonadota; Gammaproteobacteria; Enterobacterales; Enterobacteriaceae. The record is from RNAcentral.
GGGUUGUGAGGUUAAGCGACUAAGCGUACACGGUGGAUGCCCUGGCAGUCAGAGGCGAUGAAGGGCGUGCUAAUCUGCGAUAAGCGCCGGUAAGGUGAUAUGAACCGUUAUAACCGGCGAUACCCGAAUGGGGAAACCCAGUGUGAUUCGUCACACUAUCAUUAACUGAAUCCAUAGGUUAAUGAGGCGAACCGGGGGAACUGAAACAUCUAAGUACCCCGAGGAAAAGAAAUCAACCGAGAUUCCCCCAGUAGCGGCGAGCGAACGGGGAGGAGCCCAGAGCCUGAAUCAGCAUGUGUGUUAGUGGAAGCGUCUGGAAAGGCGCGCGAUACAGGGUGACAGCCCCGUACACAAAAGCGCAUGUGCUGUGAGCUCGAUGAGUAGGGCGGGACACGUGGUAUCCUGUCUGAAUAUGGGGGGACCAUCCUCCAAGGCUAAAUACUCCUGACUGACCGAUAGUGAACCAGUACCGUGAGGGAAAGGCGAAAAGAACCCCGGCGAGGGGAGUGAAAAAGAACCUGAAACCGUGUACGUACAAGCAGUGGGAGCNNNNNNNNNNNNNNNNNNNNNNNNNNNNNNNNNNNNNNNNNNNNNNNNNNNNNNNNNNNNNNNGGGCGUUAAGUUGCAGGGUAUAGACCCGAAACCCGGUGAUCUAGCCAUGGGCAGGUUGAAGGUUGGGUAACACUAACUGGAGGACCGAACCGACUAAUGUUGAAAAAUUAGCGGAUGACCUGUGGCUGGGGGUGAAAGGCCAAUCAAACCGGGAGAUAGCUGGUUCUCCCCGAAAGCUAUUUAGGUAGCGCCUCGUGAAUUCAUCUCCGGGGGUAGAGCACUGUUUCGGCUAGGGGGCCAUCCCGGCUUACCAACCCGAUGCAAACUGCGAAUACCGGAGAAUGUUAUCACGGGAGACACACGGCGGGUGCUAACGUCCGUCGUGAAGAGGGAAACAACCCAGACCGCCAGCUAAGGUCCCAAAGUCAUGGUUAAGUGGGAAACGAUGUGGGAAGGCCCAGACAGCCAGGAUGUUGGCUUAGAAGCAGCCAUCAUUUAAAGAAAGCGUAAUAGCUCACUGGUCGAGUCGGCCUGCGCGGAAGAUGUAACGGGGCUAAACCAUGCACCGAAGCUGCGGCAGCGACACUGUGUGUUGUUGGGUAGGGGAGCGUUCUGUAAGCCUGCGAAGGUGGCCUGUGAGGGUUGCUGGAGGUAUCAGAAGUGCGAAUGCUGACAUAAGUAACGAUAAAGCGGGUGAAAAGCCCGCUCGCCGGAAGACCAAGGGUUCCUGUCCAACGUUAAUCGGGGCAGGGUGAGUCGACCCCUAAGGCGAGGCCGAAAGGCGUAGUCGAUGGGAAACGGGUUAAUAUUCCCGUACUUGGUGUUACUGCGAAGGGGGGACGGAGAAGGCUAUGUUGGCCGGGCGACGGUUGUCCCGGUUUAAGCGUGUAGGUGUGUGUUCCAGGUAAAUCCGGUUCACUUUAACACUGAGGCGUGACGACGAGGCACUACGGUGCUGAAGCAACAAAUGCCCUGCUUCCAGGAAAAGCCUCUAAGCAUCAGGUAACAUCAAAUCGUACCCCAAACCGACACAGGUGGUCAGGUAGAGAAUACCAAGGCGCUUGAGAGAACUCGGGUGAAGGAACUAGGCAAAAUGGUGCCGUAACUUCGGGAGAAGGCACGCUGACACGUAGGUGAAGUGAUUUACUCAUGGAGCUGAAGUCAGUCGAAGAUACCAGCUGGCUGCAACUGUUUAUUAAAAACACAGCACUGUGCAAACACGAAAGUGGACGUAUACGGUGUGACGCCUGCCCGGUGCCGGAAGGUUAAUUGAUGGGGUCAGCGCAAGCGAAGCUCCUGAUCGAAGCCCCGGUAAACGGCGGCCGUAACUAUAACGGUCCUAAGGUAGCGAAAUUCCUUGUCGGGUAAGUUCCGACCUGCACGAAUGGCGUAAUGAUGGCCAGGCUGUCUCCACCCGAGACUCAGUGAAAUUGAACUCGCUGUGAAGAUGCAGUGUACCCGCGGCAAGACGGAAAGACCCCGUGAACCUUUACUAUAGCUUGACACUGAACAUUGAGCCUUGAUGUGUAGGAUAGGUGGGAGGCUUUGAAGUGUGGACGCCAGUCUGCAUGGAGCCGACCUUGAAAUACCACCCUUUAAUGUUUGAUGUUCUAACGUGGACCCGUUACCCGGGUUGCGGACAGUGUCUGGUGGGUAGUUUGACUGGGGCGGUCUCCUCCUAAAGAGUAACGGAGGAGCACGAAGGUUGGCUAAUCCUGGUCGGACAUCAGGAGGUUAGUGCAAUGGCAUAAGCCAGCUUGACUGCGAGCGUGACGGCGCGAGCAGGUGCGAAAGCAGGUCAUAGUGAUCCGGUGGUUCUGAAUGGAAGGGCCAUCGCUCAACGGAUAAAAGGUACUCCGGGGAUAACAGGCUGAUACCGCCCAAGAGUUCAUAUCGACGGCGGUGUUUGGCACCUCGAUGUCGGCUCAUCACAUCCUGGGGCUGAAGUAGGUCCCAAGGGUAUGGCUGUUCGCCAUUUAAAGUGGUACGCGAGCUGGGUUUAGAACGUCGUGAGACAGUUCGGUCCCUAUCUGCCGUGGGCGCUGGAGAACUGAGGGGGGCUGCUCCUAGUACGAGAGGACCGGAGUGGACGCAUCACUGGUGUUCGGGUUGUCAUGCCAAUGGCACUGCCCGGUAGCUAAAUGCGGAAGAGAUAAGUGCUGAAAGCAUCUAAGCACGAAACUUGCCCCGAGAUGAGUUCUCCCUGAGACUUAGAGUCUCCUGAAGGAACGUUGAAGACGACGACGUUGAUAGGCCGGGUGUGUAAGCGCAGCGAUGCGUUGAGCUAACCGGUACUAAUGAACCGUGAGGCUUAACCUUACAACGCCGAAG